CCUACGGGUGGCAGCAGUGAGGAAUAUUGGACAAUGGACGCAAGUCUGAACCAGCCAAGUAGCGUGCAGGAUGACGGCUCUCCGGGUUGUAAACUGCUUCUAGUUGGGAAUAAAAGGGGGCUCGUGAGCCCGGUACUGUAUGUACCAACAGAAAAAGGACCGGCUAAUUCCGUGCCAGCAGCCGCGGUAAUACGGAGGGUCCGGGCGUUAUCCGGAUUUAUGGGGUUUAAAGGGAGCGUAGGCCGGCGUUUAAGUCAGCUGUGAAAGUCCGCGGCUCAACCGUGGGAUUGCAGUUGAAACUGGAGGGCUUGAGUGCAGACGGGGAAACCGGAAUUCAUGGUGUAGCGGUGAAAUGCUUAGAUAUCAUGAAGAACUCCAGUCGCGAAGGCAAGUGUCCGGGGUGCAACUGACGCUGAGGCUCGAAAGUGCGGGUAUCAAACAGGAUUAGAUACCCUAGUAGUC
RNAcentral lists this ribosomal RNA (462 nucleotides) under uncultured bacterium. RNAcentral describes it as "partial 16S ribosomal RNA". It matches the Rfam family "Bacterial small subunit ribosomal RNA", at positions 338 to 795 of the family's 1533-position model. The record is from RNAcentral.